RNAcentral lists this ribosomal RNA (460 nucleotides) under uncultured bacterium. RNAcentral's name for it is "partial 16S ribosomal RNA". It matches the Rfam family "Bacterial small subunit ribosomal RNA", at positions 338 to 795 of the family's 1533-position model. The record is from RNAcentral.
CCUACGGGUGGCAGCAGUGAGGAAUAUUGGUCAAUGGCCGUAAGGCUGAACCAGCCAAGCCGCGUGAAGGAAGAAGGACCUAUGGUUUGCAAACUUCUUUUAUAGGGGAAUAAAGGUAUGUACGUGUGGAUACCUGCAUGUACCCUAUGAAUAAGCAUCGGCUAACUUCGUGCCAGCAGCCGCGGUAAUACGGAGGAUCCGAGCGUUAUCCGGAUUGAUUGGGUUUAAAGGGAGCGUAGGUGGAUUUUUAAGUCAGUUGUGAAAGUUUGCGGCUCAACCGUAGAGUUGCAGUUGAAACGGGCAGUCUUGAGUGCAGUAGAGGUGGGCGGAAUUCGUGGUGUAGCGGUGAAAUGCUUAGAUAUCACGAAGAACCCCGAUUGCGAAGGCAGCUUACUGGACUGCAACUGACGCUGAGGCUCGAAAGUGUGGGUAUCAAACAGGAUUAGAUACCCGUGUAGUC